UACGGAGGGGGCUAGCGUUGUUCGGAAUUACUGGGCGUAAAGCGCACGUAGGCGGAUCAGAAAGUCAGAGGUGAAAUCCCAGGGCUCAACCUUGGAACUGCCUUUGAAACUCCUGAUCUUGAGGUCGGGAGAGGUGAGUGGAAUUCCGAGUGUAGAGGUGAAAUGCGUAGAUAUUCGGAGGAACACCAGUGGCGAAGGCGGCUCUCUGGCUCAAUACUGACGCUGAGGUGCGAAAGCGUGGGGAGCAAACAGG
This 253-nucleotide ribosomal RNA is filed under the name uncultured bacterium. Its description in RNAcentral is "partial 16S ribosomal RNA". It matches the Rfam family "Bacterial small subunit ribosomal RNA", at positions 524 to 776 of the family's 1533-position model. The record is from RNAcentral.